CCUUUUUCCACCUUCCCUGGGAGGACAGGGCCCUGUCUGACUCCAGCCACCCAAAGCUGAGGCUGCUGAAGAGGCCAGAGACCAUCCUGGCUGUCUUUUAGUGCAGACCCAGGUCAUUGAGCCUGAGCUUCCACAGCUGCCAACCACCAUGAACCCCCAUUGGCAGGAUUGGCAGCAACAGUAGCAGAUAUGCUCUAUGCUUAUGAUAAUGUUUAUUUUCUUGUUGAUUAUGCUGUUAUAAAAGUGCACUUUAUAUUUGACUUCCUCUAGUCAUGUUUUCUUUUGAAAUGUUUAAGAAGAGAAGAGUUUGGAUUUGAUAUCCCGCUUUAUCACUACCCGAAGGAGUCUCAAAGCGGCUAACAUUCUCCUUUCCCUUCCUCCCCCACAACAAACACUCUGUGAGGUGAGUGGGGCUGAGAGACUUCAAAGAAGUGUGACUGGCCCAAGGUCACCCAGCAGCUGCAUGUGGAGGAGCGGAGACGCGAACCCGGUUCCCCAGAUUAGGAGACUACCGCUCUUAACCACUACACCACACUGGCUCUCUUAAGGUAUUGCUUUAGCCAACUUUGCUGCAUUAAAUGUACAUUCUGUAGUUGACCUCCUUCGUAAUGUUCUGUUUUGAGAUCUUGAAGGUAAUGUUUUUCUUUUAUGUUAAUUAUUUUGCUUUGAAUAUAUACUUUAUAGCUGACUUUCUUUAUUCUUUGUUCUUCAUUCUUCAUUGUUUCAUUUGAUCUUUUAAUAUAUUGUAAACUGAUUAGAAUUUUUUUUUCUUUAAAACAUAAAGUGGUAUUGAAAUGAAAUGAAUAAUAAUAAUUGUUCCACCCACUUUUGAUAUUGCUUCUUUCUCCACCUUCCACUGGCAUGUGGCCCCUGGAAGGUUGCCUAUGAAGAAAUGUGGCCCUUUGUCUGAAACAGACACUCUACCCAUUGUGUAGACCAGUGAUGUCCAAACUUUUUCCAAAGAGGGUCAGAUUUGAUGAAGUGAAGGUCCGUGAGGGCCGACCAAAGGACCGACCAAAGUUGUUAGCCUUUUUUUUAGGAUUGAAGUUGUUGAGGGUUUUUAAGGAUUUUACCCCAGAAAAUGAACUGCCACAGGGGCCGGAUUAAACUGACCAGCGGGCUGGGUUAGACCCCCGAAAUGGACUUUGGACAUGCCUGGUGUAGACAAUACUGAACAGAUAGACCAAUGGUCUGACUAAGUAGACAACUUCCCACGCUCCUGUGUCUGAAUAACACAACAUUCUUCUGCAGGAAAUGUGUUGAAGGGGAUGGAAGUGUUUAAGGGAAACAGUUGAACCUGUGACAAAGGCAAAUGGGAAAAAUAUAUGAAAUCUGUCUUCUCAUUCAUUCUCUUCUCUUCCCUCACCCCCCCACCCCACCACCUUCUUCUUCUUUUGAAUUGGAUUGAAACCGCUAUCAUGAAGAACAUGUCUGAUUGGAUUGAGAUGUCCCCAUCACGGGAAGCAGGCAAGGCCUGAUGCCCCAAUAACAGAAGCUGCACAAGCAAUUUAACAUGUGGCUUCAAUCCAAUUCCCUGAGCGAUUCCCCCUCUUUGUGUGUGACAACAAGACAAAGUGUUGCAUGUGUAGAAUCGCAGGAGGGAAUAAGGAGACGCACCGGUCUGAGCAGCUGGAACAACUCGUCUGUAGCUUAGUAGCAGAUCAUUGGGCUUGGAGUCUGCAGAACCAAAUCUAAUCCCACCAUUUUCCCUCCCAUUUAAGAAUUCUGUAUUUAUUGCUUGGUGUUUCCGUUUGGCUAGAGAGGGGUGUUAAAUGGCGUUCUGCCAAGUUUUCAGAACAUGGAGAGUAUUAAAGGGAAUCUGUGUUAUCCUUAAGCAAUGGGAAGGGCCAUAGCUCAGUGGCAGCGCAUCAGCUUUGCAUUCUGAAGGGUCCAGGUUCAAUCCCCAGCAUCUCUAGGUAGGGCUUGGAAUGCCCCCGUCUGAAACCCUGUGGAGCCACUGCUAGUCACUGUAGACUGCUAAUGACAUCAGAUGUGGGCAGGUAAAAAGAUGACUGGGCUAAAAAAGGGACUUCUUGAAGUACCAACAACUGGUAGCACUUCAAAGCACAGUGCAGAGCUCUCUGUGAGGGGAGCCCUGCUUUGAAGUCCCAGCAAUCAACUGGUUGCAGGGGCUUCAAAAUGUCUCAUUGGCUGAGGUUAUUGUGCCCCACCCACCAGUCAAAUUUAUCCACAGAGGAGUAAGGGAGAUAAGGAUCUGACUCAAUAGCCAGAAUCAGUACCCACAUUCAUGUUGUAGUCAAUCCUGAUCUAGGUGAAUAUAGAAACAUAGGAAGGUGUUUUACAUUGAAUCAGACCAUUGGUCCAUCUAGCUCAGGGUUGUCUACAUCAGAGGUUCUCAACCUGUGGAUCCCCAAAUGUUGUUGGACUACAACUCCCAUCAUCCCUGAGCUCUGGCCUUGCUAGCUAGGGGUGAUGGGAGUCAUAGUUCAACAACAUCUGGGGACCCACAGGUUGAGAAAGGCUGGUCUACAUUAAGAAGCAGUGGCUCUCCACUGGCCAUUGCCCAUAUCGGCUGGGGCUGAAGUGAUCUGUAGUCCAGCAACAUCUGGAGGGCACCAAAAUGUCUACCCCUGAUGUACACCAGUGAGCAAAUCUGCUGCAGAACAUUCUAUAAUGGUAUGCCAGAGGUGAUAAAGAAGAGGAGCAGAAUGAUAGAAUGAUGCAUCCAUCAUGGGACUUUGGAGGGGAGUGCAAAAGACUUGGAACUGGGUUCUGGUUGACCCAGCCCCUGCCAAAGCCAAGAAGGAAUGCAAGUGGGACCAAGGCCACAUCUACACCAUACCAUUAAAGCACAUGGCUUCCCCCAAAUAAUUCUGGGAACUUUGGUUUAAUAAGGGUGCUGACAACUGUAGCUCUGUGCGGAUUAAGCUAAAGUUCAUGGGAUAUUUGAGGAGAAGACAUAUUUUAAUGUAUGGUGUAGAUGUGACCCAAGUCUCCUUACAAGUCAAGACCAGGAAGCAAGUCUGUCAUGGAAGCUUUUGCAGAGGCCAAAGUGUAUCAUCUUACCUGUUGUAACCUACUGGGAAAAAGACCGAGACUACAUUGAGUUCUUUCCCUUCCUUCCUUUGGCCAGAGUCUUUCCUACAGCUCAUUCCAUUGGUUGGUCAGUUGCUUUGGAGGACAAGGUCAAUGGUGGCUAUUAGUCAUGGAUCAGAGGUGGUAUACCACUGAAUGUCAGAUGCUGGGGGCAAAAAGCAGAAGCUCCUGAAUUUGCAGGAGGGUGGCAUGCUGUAGCUAUAAGGUCCUGCUUGCAGGCUUGGCUACUGUGAGAACAGGAUGCUGGACUAGAUGGGUCUUUGAGCUGAUCCAGCAGGGCUCUUCUUGUGCUCAUACGUUCAUAUUCAUGUUCUGCUUAGGGCUUUUGAUAGGCAUCUGAUUGCCUAUUGUGGAAAACAGAAUAGGUCCCAGGACAUGGUUUGAAAGCACAUGAGGCCACUAGCUUCCUAGUGCUGAUCAAGUCUGAGUCUGAUCAGUGCCAGGGUGGGUGCAUCUCUAGGAACCACUUGUAUGCAGUCUUGGGUUUUAUGAUGGAAGAAAGAUAGAAUACAAAUACAAGAAAAGAACUAAGCAAGUACAUUAGCUAGGCCUUUUAUCUGAUCCAGCAGGGUUCUUACAGUACAUGAGCUGAAUCUGCUGCCUUUUAGGUCAAGAGAUGCUGCAGGUGCAAGUCUUGACAUGUGCCGAAAGCAAGUGUGUGGAAGGCCGGAGGAAGCUUUUCCAUCGGUGCAUUCAAAAGCCCUGAGAAACACCUGUAGCCUCUUUCCAUCCUUAUCCGCUGCUCAGCUAGCUGAGCUGAAGAAACUCUCUGAUCAUCUAUUAAUCUCUUUUGUUGCUCAGAAGGCACCGCAAAGGCUUCAGCCGUGGAAGCUGUCUAAUGAUUCUCUUAAGAUCAAAAGGCAGGUGUCAUAAAGGUUAUUAAUAUUUUCCAAGUAAAAUAGUGUUUGCUUUUUAAAGCCCCUGCCAAAGCUCUCCUGAAAUGUGUUUGCCAUUAAAAAGAGGGGGGAAAGAGUACUGGAUGCCUUCAGCCAAUAUCUAGGUAGACAAUUUCCAGACCAAUUUGUGAUGCAUGAUUAACAGAUCAGAGAGGGAUUUUUUUUUCUUCAGAAAAAAAGAGUGUUAUCUUUGAAAUGUUCCAGAGUGCCUACUUCACCACUUGAGCAUCCCUGUUUAUAAUAGGCAACAAAUGUUGCAUUUACACAACAGCCUUAUGGAGCAAAAGGUCGCCAUGUUCAAGUGCAAAACUAUCUGAAAAUGGCUCUGGUUGCCUGACCAAAAAAAAAUGUGCUUUUUCCCCCUAAUUAAACUGUUUGGCUCCCUAUUGCAGAUCCCAAUACAAAAUAAAGAAAUGCCCUGAACAUGAAGCAAUAGUUUUCAACUGCUUCACUCUGGAGGAACCCUUUAUGCAUUGCUUUGUUGUCUGCAAAACUGCUGUUGACUGUGCAUUGCCCUGUGUGUUGCAUAAUCUAGAUCAGGGCUGCAGAAGCUGUAGCUUCCCAUUCUUGUUGAACUCCAGCUUCCAUCAGCCUCAGUCAGAAUGGCCAGCUAGAAUGAUGGAAGUUGUAUUCCAACAAACCCUACAAGGUUACAAGUUACCCAUCCCAACUCUAGGUGGUGACCAAAUAGUUAUAAUAGACUUGGCUAAAUACUGCAUACAAAUUAAGUGUGUGCUCCAGAAUACUCUACAACAGGGGUAACCGUAAUGGUCCCUCCAUGUAUUAGAAUUCAACUUCCAUCAGUCUGCAUGGUCAGUGGUCAGGGUUGGUGGGAGCUGGAAUUCAAGAGUAUCUGGAAAGUGCAUUUAUGAGUUAUCUCUACAAUGUGCAGCAGUAGUUUCUGGGACAUGUUUUAAAAGAGCAUUUUUCCAGUCCAUAUGGAGUGCCUGGUCCAAGCUAUCACUCUGUGCAAUUAAACUAUGCCCUUAAAAUGCACUUUGGAAGGUCAGUAAUGUCCUUCAGCCAUGUGCAGCCCUCUUGCCAAGGAAACUCUGUUGAGCAGGUUAGAAACCAUUCCGCUAUAAAGUAUUAAGAAUGUAUUGUUUGUGAAAUGGGUUCAUCGGGAUGUCCUUUCAUAUAAGCAAACAUUGUCCCUUGAAAGCUAGAAGCAUCAUCUCUUUUAAAAUGAAACCUGGGGUUCCCUAAGCAAGCUUUCAUUAGAAUCAUGUGUGCCUUUGCGAAUCACCAUAGAGCUUCUAAGAGUCCAGUGGUCAUACCAGGAUCCAGAAGAAUACAGAAAGGCAUCAGAGCCCAAAAGAUCACUGCUACAUAAGCCAGGUCCCAGUCUAAACAUGAGGUCUUUUGAUAGUGUCUUCUGUCUAGGAGGACCCAUUGUAUAAGGUAAGUGUACAGGGCUAGUAUGGAUCUGAGGACAAUUUACCGUGCAGGAAGACAUUCCAAAUGGAAGUUCGGGUGGCUCAGUUCAGUUUGCAUGAAGCAGUCAUGUACUAAGGGUCCCUUGAGUUAUUACAGGCAUAGGGAGCCUUUGGCCCUCUAGAUGUUGCUGAACUAUAACUCCCAUCAUCUCCAAUAAACAUCUCCAGGGAUGAUGGGAGCUGUAGUUCAGCAACAUCUGGAGGUCCAAAGGUUCCCCACACCUGCUCUAUCUCCAGUAGCUCUUAACAUCUGGUCACAAUAGCGUCAUGAUGUGUUCUGCUCAUGGGCUUCCAAGAGGCAUCUGGGAACAACAUGGUGGACUAGAUAGACCUACUGGUCUAGUCCAGCAGGGCUUUUCUUAUGCUCUUAUUAAUUGCAUCUGUGUGACUGAACCAUUACAGAUCUACCACUGCAAUUAGGGCUUUUCUGUCAUCUGAUGUCACCACAAAGGCAAUACUUUCCAAGAUAAAGUAUUCAGUAGGCAGCCAUCAUAUAAAGUACAAUAGGUAAAUAUAAGCUGGAGCUUGGUCCAUAAAGGCAAAUGGAGCUCUGCAUCCCCAGCAACCACAGUCUGCUCCCAGCCAGCCCCCACCUGACUUCUUUCUUACUUACAUCCAGUUCAGGCAAUGGCACUGGCUGUUAGCUUCCUCCUCAAUUUCAAUGUUGCUCUUGUAGACCUCAGCAAGGAGAAGGAUAGGGACAAAGCUAAAAUUAGUUGGCUCUACCCAUGAAUGGCUCAGGCUGCAUAUACUGUGGACUUCUUUGCCUUCCUUUCCACCAGUCCCAAUGGACACUAGCCACCACUGUGAGUGAACAUCACAUUUGGGAACCAGCUUAAUCAGGUAGUCCUACAAGUGUUUACUCAGAAGUAAGCCCCUUUGAGUUUAAUGACACUUACUCUCAACUAAGUAGGGAUUAGGAUUGCAGUCUUGGUUACCAAUUACUCUUCAAUAUUUCAGGCACUGUAGAAGAGGAAGGUGGGAAAGCUCUUUUUCAUAUACCAUGGAAGACCUUUUUAAAAAAAUGUUUUAAAAAUGUAGAUCAGAUUUAUUUAUGUUCCAAGACAAGUAUUUCUGACAUAAAGGGCAGCUUCUGAAUGCAGUGGAGUAAUGAAGUUUCUUGCAAAGCACAACACGGAACCAGCCUUAUUUCCUGCAAAUUAUAGAUUAGAACCUUCCCCUGCCUUUGUAGAAGUCACCAUUCCAUUUUGGACAGGUUAAGUAUAGCGUUAACAAGCUUUUAUUUCAGGAACAUGAAAGAAGUUUUGCAUGGAGUUUUCCCAAAAGGGAAGUAAAUAACACCUAAGAAUAUAGCAUGUAAUUUCAACGUCAGUGCUGAUGUCUAUGUAUACAGGUCUUAAAACCACCUUUCUUUGGAUCUUCUUCUGUUCUCAAAACAGUAGUUAGAGUUCAACGAUGUCCAAAUAUAAGCAUACAGAGCUGACAAGGUAUCCAACAGAGAUGCAGAGAGAAAAGAUGCAAGAGUUUAACUGAAGCAACUAGACACUGCAGCACCAUACAUAUGCUCCAACUCUUAAACUGGUUUUACAUAUUCUCCUGGUUAAACUGGAAUUCAGGAGGAGUAGAACAUAGCUCAUAAUGAACCAGAGGAAGAACAGAAUAAUAAAAUGAAAGAAAUCCUCUUAUCACUACUUCAUAAUUGAGGCUGAAUGUGCAAUCAGCCUGGACACUAGGCCUUGUUCACACAAAUGUUGCAGUGGGAUGAUGACACUGGUGGUUGCAUAGUACCAUCAUGACUUGUAGUCCUCAGUUGGCUUUCAUGAAUUUAACCGUCUUCCUUAAAGUCAUUUAAGCCAGGGUUGUUGAACUACAAUUCCCAUCACCCACAUGGUAGCUGUGGAUGAUAGUCCAGAUACCUCUGGAGAGGUACAGGUUCCCCAACCCUGGUCUGAACUAAAGGCUAUCACAUGUUGUGGAAAUAAGUUCCACAGAUCAGUUAAAUGAUGUGAGAGGAAGUGCUUCUCUGUCCUGAAUCUCCUGUCAAACAGUUUCAUUGCUGGAGGUAGGGGAGCCCUACUAAAGUAAUCACUGACUUUAUGCCAACCCAAGCACACACUACUUUUCAAACGUGUACUGGAGACUUAUCAAGGAUCGGUUAACAAGCACAACUGGAUCACUUGAUUUCACAAUCCUUGAUGACUGGUACUUGAGGUGAUAUGAGAAGAUACAAGAGUGUUCCCUAUGAUGUUUUGAUCUAUGAUGAAUCACCUUCAAGUUCCCCCCACACUGCAGUCAUUACUUGCAUACAUUCUAAAACUGGUCCUAAGGUUCUCAGUUAUUAAGGCUGCAUUCCUAUACACCAAGGAAUUCUGGGAGCUGUAGUUGUUGAAGAUUCUUAGAAGACCCCAUAUUUCCCUUCUAGAGCUACAGUUCUUAGGAGUAGUUUGACAUUCAAUCCCACUUCCCAGGGAACUAUAGCUCUGGGGGGGAAAUAGGGGUCCCCUACCUUUUAACAGCUGUCAACACCCUUAACAAACUACAGCUCCCAGAAUUCUUUGGGGAAAGCCAUGAUUGUUCGAAGUGAUAUCAUAGUGCUUUAAUAAAAGGUAAAGGGACCCCUGACAGUUAAGCCCAGUCGCGUACAACUCUGGGGUUGUGGCGCUCAUCUCACUUUACUGGCCGAGGGAGCUGACGUUUGUCUGCAGACAGUUUUUCUGGGUCAUGUGGCCAGUAUGACUAAGCCACUUCUGGUGAAACCAGAGCAGCACACGGAAAUGCCAUUUACCUUCCCACCACAGUGUUACCUAUUUAUCUACUUGCACUGGUCUGCUUUCAAACUGCUAGAUUGGCAGGAGCUGGGACCGAGCAAUGGGAGCUCACCCCAUCACGGGGAUUUGAACCACCGACCUUCUGAUCGGCAAGCCCCAGGCUCAGUGGUUUAGACCACUGCAUCACCUUUUAAUUAUAUGGUGUGAAUUCAGCUAUUGAGCUGAGCCUUAAGUUUAAUGGAAAUAGAACAAAGCAGCAUUUGAAUGUCAAUAUAUUUAUUGAUUUUUUUUUACCAGUUGCAUUGCUGGGGAAAAUAGGUUUUCCUUUUAGAAGCCUUCCUUCAGAUUACAGAUCCAGCCCCAGAGUUUGUGUAUAGAGCUCUUGCCUUCAAAGCACUAUCAGACCAGUACCCAAUAAAUCUUCAAAGCACUCUCAAGAGGCAAGAAAGUUGUUAUCAGGACAACUGUGAUAAAGAAGGAUUAAGGAGAUGUCUCAAAGCCAAACAGGAAGCUAGUGUCAGAGAUUGGAAAAUUAUUAGCUGUCAUGAUGACCUUGCAACUGCCAUUCAUGCUAGUGCUGUACCAAAAAAAAAAAAAUCAUCCUGCAUUUUAUUUUAUUUUUUAACCAUUCUCCAUCAGUUAAUGAGAAAAGAAACUGAUUUAAACAUUGGGAAAUAAGAGAGAAAAUGUUGAUGAAGAUUCACUUGGGUGAGGUGCAGCGUUUCUGUUGAGCUUUCCUUACUUUUGCAGUGACCAAGGGACACACAGCACUAAUUUGUGCUUUCUCUGCCUCAUGCUGACUUGUUGCAAUGCAUGCUACACAUGGUCACCUUUCAAGACCAUUUGGAAUCUUCUAAGGACACAAUUCUUCUCCUUACAGGUGUGAAUCUCCAGGAGCGCAUUACACCAAUGUAUCUGAGCCUGUGCUGAUUCCCUGUUGCCUUUUUAGCCCAAUUCAUUGCAUAUAUUUUUACUAAUAAAGCCUUCAUUGUGUCAGUGGGGAUGGCUACAUGAUCAUGCAUGUAACUGCAGACCCUCCAAGUAUCCCUAUUUUCCAAGGACGUCCCCAAUUUUCAUUGGAGAAAUGUUGGAGGGUAUGGUGACUGGUACUAACAUUAAAAAACUUAUGCAGCUCAGGCCCUGGCUACAUAUAUACCAGGUAGGCCAUUGUGGUCUGUGGGAGCACUUCUCCAUCAAGUUCCAAAUACAUCAGAAACAGACUCCACAGGAACUCAGAGCAGGGCUUUUUGUGUGACUGCCCCUGAUCUGUGGAAUUGCAUUUCUCUUGAGAUAUAACAGUUGUCUACUAUCUUUACCUUCCGGAAACAACUGAAAGCAUUUUGUUUUGUUUCCAUGCUGGAUGGAUAGAUCUCUAACAUGGGUGUCUCUUUUGUAUUUUUUAAAAAUUUUAUCUGAUGAUGUGGGUGCAAUGGGUAGGUGGGUGGGUUGUUUUUAACUGGGGGGGUAGCCACUUUUAUUGGAUUUUGUACAUCACCUUGAUACAUGUCUGUGGAAGGUGGUAGACAGAUAAAUAACUGUUCCAUAACUUCUUGUUAUUGAGCCCUUUUAUCAUGAGAACUGUGGAUUUUUCUGUGCACUGGCCCAACGUUGCUUAGUGAGCAUCAUGGCUGAGCAGAAAUUUGAACCUGGAUCACUCUAAGUCUAUGUCCAACACUGUAGUCACUACAGGCUUUUUUGAAUGUGUGGAGAUGCCCUGGGCAUUCUUCUGGAGUGGGUCUUGUAGGUUUCCAAACACAGCUUUGCCAAAAGUCCUGAGUCUGAACUAGAAUGGCAUUGGGCAGAAGUUUCAUUUUUCAGUGAUCAUGGAUUUUAGGGCUGAGCUGGAUGAGCACAGAUUUCUUUGCUUGAUAUUGUGGGGGAAAGUGCUUUGGCACUUAGGCCUGGAAGCCCUUCCUCCUAAUCCUAGCUUUGUGGUGGCUGGUAUCAAUUAUUCUCUAUAUCCAAUAAAUAUUUUUUUGGAUAUGCAAAAUAUCCAAGAAAAGAGAAAAAAAUUAAGUGAAAUUCUCAUGUGUGGGAUGUGGGAGUUUUCUUCCACUUGUCUUACCUUUGAGAUAACUGAGGGAUGUUUGUGAGUGUCCUUCCUUUCCUUUCAUUCCACACAUCAUCAUCUGGUGAUCAGCAAUAUGCAGCUUUUCCAGGUGUCCUAGCUUCCUUAAAAAAAAACAACCAUGACAUCCUUGACUGGGUGUUCCUGUGUGCACAGAAAGGCAAGGAGGCUGCCCACCAUGAUGUUGAUAGCUGUUCCUUGGCUUCUGCAUGGGUUGGUGCAUGCAUGUGAACUCUUUUUUUCCUCUUCCAGAAGCAAGAGUGGAAAGAUUUUGUUUUUAAGGUAAAAGGGAGGACUUUCCUUAAAAACAAAAUAAAUGGGCGUACCAGUCUCAGGCAUUGGGUAAAUAACUUUCCAGUUUUCUGAACUUUGAUUAAAUCACAGGGGAGGUGGUGUCUCCCAAGGGGCUUCUUCUGAUCAGGAAGCAUGGACAGAUGGGGAGAGGGCCUAGUGCUGGAGAAAUGUUUAAUGGAAAGAGAAACACAGGCACCAAUCUUGACCACCUUGCAAUGAGAAGGGAUGCUUAACCUCAUUCUGAAUCAAUUUUCAAUGCCCUGAAAAUGAGGCAAAUUAUAUAAAGCUCUUUUGUGGGGGAAGGAAACUGCUGAGAAAUAGGAGGACAAGUUUUGGUGUGGCAUUAUUUUACACGCGUUCAGAAGCAAUCCCUUCUGUAGCACUCACUCCUGGGCUAAUCGACCACUAUGGCAAUACUGAAACUCUUGCAUCCAAGAAUAACUUCUGCUGCAGUAAAAAAAAAAAAAAUGGCACAGCCUAUCCCCUGAUUAAAAGAUAAAUCAAAAUUUGUUAAGAGAGCGGAAGAGUUGGAGGGCUGAUUGCUAACACCAGUGGGGAGGGGAAGGGGAGAGAGAAAGAUGAAAGGGAAGCCUAAUCGGAGACUUUCUUUAAGCUCUGUUGAUUACUGAGAAGCUUUUGACAUGGCUCUGUUGCAGGCAAACAGGAGUGGCGACCCUCUCUGAUAUUCUCCAGCUCACCCGGACGACUCCACUGACACGAACAGCUCAGCCCUGCAGAAAUAGUGGUGAGUUAGUGCAUGUUCCAAGGGAGAUAAUGGCAAAGUUAUUUUGCCUUUGGGCUCAAAGUCUGUAUGUGGGGAGUGAGCAGGGGGAGAAAGAGAGUGGGGGAAUCCCUUGCAAAAUAUUAUAGAAGGGUUUUCUUUUAAGUCCCUUUUAGCCCUCAGGAGCAGGCAAUGUUCAGCCAGGUCUUGUUUCACCAACAUAAUAUCUCUUUAUGAAUAGCUGGAGGGUUGCUAGCAAGUGUACUCAUUUAGCUGUGGAAGGGAUGUUUAAUAGCCAUCAAAACGGCGAACAACUUGACAACUGUUUGAUCAACUGAGAUGUCACCCGCAGAGAUGAAAUGACAUAUCUUCGGGUGAUAUGUGUCGGUCAUUAUUGAGUUGACUGUUAGCAGGAGAAGCAAGCUUUUUAAAAAAGCAGUUGUGUCAGACCAGAGCUUGACAUUAUGGGGGUCUCAUGGCUACUGCUGGAAGCAGCAGACCCACAUCCCUUUCUCCUCCUCACUUCCCCAGACUCACGAUGUUGUCACAUCCAAAGUUUCCCUGCCCUCAGUCAAUUUCAUUGGCUGCCCUUUGCACGGGCAAAGAGUGUUGCCAAGCAGUGAUGUCACUGAAUGGAUAGCACACACUGCAGGGAACAGGAGAGGAGGAGACAGUGUAAGGCUGCCAUUUUGGGUGGCAGCUGAGUAUCCUUCACAACAUCAAGUGUUGCUGCAGCAGCAAGAGUGGCAACAACAAACACAAAAUAGGCAUGUGUGAAAACCCAACAGAUUUAUUGUGGCAAGACUUGUUAUAGGCAUGAGUCUCCUUCAGAUGCAUGAGCAGUGAUCACCCCCACAUACACAUAGGCCUCAUCUGCACUAUACGUUUAAAGAAGUAUCAUGCUACUUUAAACAUUCUUGGCUUCCCCCAAAGAAUCCCAAGAGCUGUAGUUUGUUAAGAGUGCUAAGACUUGUUAGGAGACUUCCAUUCCCCUUGCAGAGGUACAAUUCUCAGAAUGGUUUAGCAAUCACUUCCCAUGGAACUCUGAGAAUUGUAGCUCUGUGAAUGGGAAUGCGGGUCUCCAAACAACUCUCACCUCUCUCAACCGACUUCAUUUCUCAGGAAUCUUUGGGGAAGCCCUGACAGUUUCAAAGGGUGUGUUUCAAAUGUAUAGUGCAGUUGGUGCCAAGCGCUAGUGUAGUUCAGUGUCGGUUUUAAAAGGACUGCAUCAUUCUCAGGGCAUAGUCUGAAGGUACAGAAUGUGUCAAUCUUGCUAGGCAGAUAGGGGUCUCAUCAGUGCUGGAAUAGAGGCUGGGUUAUUGGCAGAAAGAAAGAGUCAACCUGAAUUAAAUUGGGCGAGGUGGAAUAUGGGUUAGCGUUUUGAUGACUGAGUCAUGUGGAUCCUGAAAACACAGCUGCAUGGCUGAGGGAUAGGAAUAGGUGAACCUGUUGACUUUGGUUUUGAUCAGUUUCUAUUUUUUCCCCUAUCUUAAAUUCAGUUCUCUACAUCACAACAUCAAUUUGGGGUGGCUAUUUCAAAGUCUUCAUGAAAAUUCAUCAGCAUUUUAGGGCAGAUUUCUCAAAAUAUGCGCAUUUUUACAAGCUGUUUUCCCUAAAAUAAUGCAUUUUGUAUCUUAUGUUCACUAGUAUAUGCAUUUUUCUGCAUACUUUACCCUAGUACAGGCAUUUUUGUACACUUUACAUUGCUGUAAAACUUCACUUCAAAAUUCAGAGUUGUCCAAACUUCAAAGAAGUGUUUCAAUUGGUGCAAAUUAGCCAGGUUUCCCUUUGAAUGCAAACUGAAUUUCUCCCCAAUCCCACUUGACUUGCAGAAGUAUGUUGCAGAGGGUUGGACUAGAUGACCCUUGGGACCCCUUCCGAUUCUAUGAUUCUAUGAAAUUACAUCACUGCCACAGGAUUUGACUCCUCCCACUGCAAGCCUGGGAGACAACAGGGGAGCAUCAAAGACUUGAUGGGCAUGCAAAAAAAGAGUCUUGAACCUAUGCCAAGCAAUUUGUUCUGGCUUUAAUCAAGAUGUCGUCUUUUAACUCCAAAUGUCAUUCUUCUUAUUAUUUUUAAUCCCGUAUCAAAACUUUGAGCAGCAUACUGCAGCAUGAAUAAAUGCUACCCGUCAUUUAAACUUUCAGCAAUGUUUCAAAGCCUUGCAAAUGAGUGAUAGCCAUAUAUAUUUGUAUUCAUGCAUGUGUAUAUUCAUCAAAGUGAUGCAGUUAACAAGCUG
This is a non-coding RNA of Podarcis lilfordi (Lilford's wall lizard), 13440 nucleotides long. Lineage: Eukaryota; Metazoa; Chordata; Lepidosauria; Squamata; Lacertidae. The record is from the annotation of a GenBank genome assembly.